Molecule: long non-coding RNA, 2376 nt
Organism: Musa acuminata AAA Group (dessert banana)
Lineage: Eukaryota; Viridiplantae; Streptophyta; Magnoliopsida; Zingiberales; Musaceae
Exons: 5
Source: RefSeq, a predicted model, not a curated record
AUAUUUGCAAUAGACCCCCGCAAUUAUCGAUCCCAUGACGCUGAACUCGGUGACUCCUUUCGCCUGGUGCCGCCUCGCCGUCGUCGCUCCUCCCCUGCUCUCAGCGCCUUCCUCACCAUCGCUGAUCAGCGUCUGCUCCGUCUCCAACGCCCUCAGGCGAAGGCGACCGGUUGGACUUUUCUCUAUAGCACAGGCAAGUUUGCUGAAAUCCAUCAUCGAUCAAACUGGGACUUGGGCCAGCCUCUUGAAGGCCCUUAUGGUCUAGAUCGAUUCCGCGAAAGCCGUCUCGUUUGAAUGGGCUGGUUCGAUUUGGAAGGAUCCAAAUUAGAUGUGCCAACGAACGAGAUGACGGAUCGUCGGGGUGUUGCUAGGAACUCGCAGCACAUCGCCUCCAAGCUGUUCGACUCUAUUCCUCUGAAGGAACAACGCCUUGAUAUUCGCGCUUGCACUAUCCUGCUUCGAUGCCUACGCUCGGGCUGGGAACAUCACAAAGCGGGUUGCACCGUACGGUAAGGCCAGGAAACCCGUGGCCGCUGACUCUUAGUUUGUACUGAUACAACAAUAUGCUCUUCGGAAGACCCUAUGGGCACAUGUAUGUGGAAGGUUGGCCAAUCCAAUAUUCCCCCACUAGUAUAAAGAUGGCAAAAGUGGGGGUAGGGAGGAUAUAUAAAAAGAGCCCAACGAAUGAAGUGCCUUUCCUCUUUUCUUCUCGUGGCCGUCCACAAAUAAUGCGCUUGGUGACUCCACAGGUUCCAAAGGUGAUUGAAUGGGGAAGGAAAGAUGAGAUGGGAAAUGGGUGUUGUAUAUCUAAAGUUAGUUCGUGCAUUAUUUAUAUGUUAUCUGUUUGACCAUCCAAUUCACGAUGCUGCCAAGCCUACUUUUCUCGAGGCCUUCUUCUCACAUGUGAGCAGUUCCGAUCCCUUCUGAAAUUGAUGGGAUUGCUCAGCAGCAGUAGCCAACAAUACUAUUACGGCACGGUUCUACAUGGCCUGUCGACCUCAAGCUAGUCCGGAUGAGCACGGAGGCCGCAUGCAAUGGGUGAUACCACAACCUUUUCGCCUUUGGGCCACAAGACUUUUGUGCACUACGUGGACCUGACUGAUCGCAGCAUCGAGAUUGUUAGUUGUUAACUUCGCAUUUAAUCUGAGGAUUGGAACACCUCGACGUGAACUCUGCUCAUUCAAGAUGAUGCGAUGGAUAAGGUAAAAUUUGAAGCAGAACUCCAUGUUCCAAGUAUUUUACUUGUCAAAUUUCAAGAGUCUUUAAGUUCUAAAUUCCCUGCGCCAUCAGUCAGUUCCAUGGAAUGAUGGCACAGAAUAACAGAAAUAUUAAAGCAGGUUGGAGUUGUUCUCAUCCUCUACUGUGAUGGUGAUGGUGAUGGUGAUGGUGAUGGUUCGGAAAGAACACAUCGACCCUGUAUGCGCUGCAACAACACAACUAUUUGCUCUAUCCAUCUCCAUCGAACAGAAGCUGCCACCGUUCCUUCACUGGGGACCUCCCUAUUCCUUUACAAUGCACCUCCCUUUUGUCCCGCACAUCGUCAGGGAAUUGCUCGGCGAAACAAGUGGGUGCUGCUAUUUCCAAGUUCCACACCAAACAUGAGAACACCAGUGUUGGUCCGCAACCUUGUGGGGCUGAAGUUGACUUUGACCCCUACAUUUUUCUGACUUUGACUUAAGACCUUGGCGUCAAAGUGCUCAACCCCACCCUUCUCGUGCGAUGCCGAGACGAAGCAUCAAGUGUACGUGCAGUUUGGCACGGGUAACUAUGUCACAUUAAAUGGAGACCUCGGCAGCGAUCUAAACAGCGAGGAUUGCGACCGACCUCAGCCUCUUUGUUUUAUCUACCACUGUUGAAUAGAAUUCUAACGACAUACGAAGGGAGACAACAUGGAUUCCAAUAUGGAAAAUUGGCAUUGCAAGAACCAUGCAAUUGUCGAGGAAGAAAAGUAUUAGCUUGGCAUUUGUGAAGGCAGUCCCCGUCAAGGGUGGAAAUUUCUUAUGAUGGCGGCAAAAAUGUGGAAGAUGAAACAUUUGAUAGGAAAAACUGACACUUGACAUCGUUGGAGUUUGAUGUGGGGGGGGAAGGGAUGAGGUAUGAUCGAUCCAGAGAAGACAAAAGAAACGUUGCUGAGGUCGAUCACAGAUUGGUACACACGAGGGUUUUCAAAGAUGCAUGCAUGCCUCGGAAUCAAACCUCAGCAUUAAUGUAUGUGCCAGCGGUCACGACGGUUCACAAUGACAGGCAGCCUUUUCAGCGGGAAAUAUGUAUCUUUACAUAUCGUGCUAUGUCGCUUGGGUGCUCGAGGCCACACCUCCUGAAUGCCUGUCUACGGUUUUGACUCGUAAAUCAUAUGGUCUUACUCGGACGAGGCAA